GUAGAUGUUUCGGUGUGUCGGUGAUCUUGUUUGAGUGCUAACGCAUGAGAGAUUGCCGCCGGUAGAGACGCUCGAUGUGGCGCAAUUACAGCUUUGAAGAACCAAAGCUACUGCGAAACGCCCGCCUGGGC
This is a non-coding RNA of Candidatus Sulfuricurvum sp. RIFRC-1, 131 nucleotides long. The record is from Rfam. NCBI's taxonomy places the organism in Bacteria, Pseudomonadati, Campylobacterota, Epsilonproteobacteria, Campylobacterales, Sulfurimonadaceae.